GCCCCUGUAGCUCAGCGGAAAGAGCGCCUGGCUACGAACCAGGAGGUCGGACGUUCGACUCGUCCCAGGGGUAC
Molecule: transfer RNA, 74 nt
Filed under: Phytohabitans flavus
Lineage: Bacteria; Bacillati; Actinomycetota; Actinomycetes; Micromonosporales; Micromonosporaceae
Description: tRNA-Arg
Rfam family: tRNA
About the family: Transfer RNA (tRNA) molecules are approximately 80 nucleotides in length.
Source: RNAcentral